Molecule: long non-coding RNA, 599 nt
Organism: Rhipicephalus microplus (southern cattle tick)
Lineage: Eukaryota; Metazoa; Arthropoda; Arachnida; Ixodida; Ixodidae
Source: RefSeq, a predicted model, not a curated record
CAGUGUGAAGGGGGCAAUUGUCUACGAAAGACUCACUGCAUCAGCACGUGGAGCACACGAGUUUGCUUUAUUAGCCUAAUACCACGCCUGCGACAGAAGUACCUUCUUAUAAACUGUGCAAGACGUGCGUUAUUACUGUUCUUCUUAAUCGUUCUGCUCUUGAAAGACCGUUACGAAGUCAACCAUGCAUGCAUCUUCUGUGAUCGGAGCUAUGUUUUUUGUUUCAAUCUCGAUAGUUCCCGUUUUGAACUACCAAGUCUCGGAUCAUUGGUUCUCCGAAGAUUAUUCCCCAGAUUUAGGGCUCACGGAUCUCGAAGAUGAACAAACCAGGAGUUCCAGUUGGCUGCCCACCGAUAAACGAACCAUGAAAGGAUUAGGUGUUUCCUGCAGAAGUACCAUUGAAUGUUACCCAGGACUGUGCUGCAUACGAGACGGUCACAUCGACACUUGCCAGAUGUCGUCAAUGUAUGGUGAAAAGUGCUCGCUAGGACAAAUCAAAGGAGGUAUAUACCACAAGCAUGGUCCCUGUUACUACGGAGAUGAAUACUGUAUAGAUGGAACAUGCUUCGCAUAACAACGCGCCUUCUUGGUAACACGAG